GACGAACGCUGGCGGCGUGCUUAACACAUGCAAGUCGAGCGGUAAGGCCCUUUCGGGGGUACACGAGCGGCGAACGGGUGAGUAACACGUGGGUGACCUGCCCUCAGCUCUGGGAUAAGCCUGGGAAACCGGGUCUAAUACUGGAUAUGACUCCAUGACGCAUGUUGUGGGGUGGAAAGCCUUGUGCGGCUGAGGAUGGGCCCGCGGCCUAUCAGCUUGUUGGUGGGGUGAUGGCCUACCAAGGCGACGACGGUAGCCGGCCUGAGAGGGCGACCGGCCACACUGGGACUGAGACACGGCCCAGACUCCUACGGGAGGCAGCAGUGGGGAAUCUUGCGCAAUGGGCGAAAGCCUGACGCAGCGACGCCGCGUGAGGGNU
This 379-nucleotide ribosomal RNA is filed under the name uncultured bacterium. Its description in RNAcentral is "bacterial SSU rRNA". It matches the Rfam family "Bacterial small subunit ribosomal RNA", at positions 28 to 409 of the family's 1533-position model. The record is from RNAcentral.